Molecule: long non-coding RNA, 970 nt
Filed under: Prunus dulcis (almond)
Lineage: Eukaryota; Viridiplantae; Streptophyta; Magnoliopsida; Rosales; Rosaceae
Description: sRNA ncRNA
Source: RNAcentral
GUGAAUAUCCCAAGAACACGCACUGAGUGGUUCGCGGUUGUAACUUAUGCACAUUAUAAUGUCUUAGAUACGGAUAUACCGCAGUACCAAAUAUUCUCAAAGAAGCAAGAUCAGGAUGAUGACCAAAUAAACGAAAAUAAGGAGAUUGAUGAUGUAAAACAGAGCUGGGCAUUCGAUUUAUAAGAUACACAGCAUGGGCAGCAGAAUGAAACCAAAACUGACCUGGCAAGGCUGCUGUAGUUAACAGGGUAAUGGCCGUUUCAACAAUAUGCCUAUUCUUCCGCUCUGCCAAUCCAUUUUGCUGCGGAGUAUACGGACAAGACAAACGACGCACAAUACCCUUAGAAGCCAAAAAAUCUGUAAAAACCUUGCUAAGAAACUCACCACCACCAUCACUCUGAAAACACUUAAUAGCAGCACUGAAUUGAUUUUGUAUCAAAGCAUGAAACUGUAAGAAUUUGGAGAAAACUUCGGAUUUAUUGAAAAGGGGAUAAACCCACAAGUAUCCAGUACAUUCGUCAAGGAAGGAAACAAAAUAUCUGUAACCUUCAACAGAUUUGUAAUGGGAAGGACCCCAUACAUCACUAUGAACAGUAUGAAAAGGAAUUUCAGACCUAUUAUGUCUAACAGGAAAUGGGAGUCGAUGCAUCUUCCCUUGAAGACAAGCUGAACACAAGGGAUUCAAAUUGGAAGAAUCAUUUGCACAUUGCAAACCAGAGGCUUUAAGCAUUGAGUGCACCACUUCAUUCGUUGGAUGGCCAAGUCUGUGAUGCCAAAUGGACGACUGAACAUGUUGACCAAGCAAAGCCACUUUCUUGGAUAGGCAAUGAGAGGAUACAGCAGAGGAAAUAGGAUACAACCCGUUGUUACUUCGGCCUUGUAGAAGGAUUGUCUUGGUGACCCGAUCCUGUAUCACAAAACCAGAAGCAUCAAAGCUGAUAACACAGUUAUUAUCGUUACACAGCUGAUG